AGCUCUUGUAGACACAUAUGAUGUGAGUGAACAUUUUUCAUAUUGGCUUACUCUUCAUUGCGGAUGGGACCUACUUGCCUUAACUUUUUGUUCUCUUGCAAUCACAUAUGCGCAAACAAGCAUAUUUCACUCUUAGAGUCCUAUUUUGUAGCUGAAAAAAUUAAUUUUGAUACAUGUAACUUCAAAUGCCGAAAAGACAGAAGUCAUGAGGAAAGAGAAGCUCAAUUGUAA
This 231-nucleotide unclassified non-coding RNA is filed under the name Hevea brasiliensis (rubber tree). Lineage: Eukaryota; Viridiplantae; Streptophyta; Magnoliopsida; Malpighiales; Euphorbiaceae. The record is from RNAcentral.